RNAcentral lists this ribosomal RNA (461 nucleotides) under uncultured bacterium. RNAcentral's name for it is "partial 16S ribosomal RNA". It matches the Rfam family "Bacterial small subunit ribosomal RNA", at positions 338 to 795 of the family's 1533-position model. The record is from RNAcentral.
CCUACGGGCGGCAGCAGUGAGGAAUAUUGGUCAAUGGGCGGAAGCCUGAACCAGCCAAGUAGCGUGCAGGAUGACGGCCCUACGGGUUGUAAACCUCUUUUGUCAGGGAGCAAAGGCGUCCACGAGUGGACGAAAGGAGAGUACCUGAAGAAAAAGCAUCGGCUAACUCCGUGCCAGCAGCCGCGGUAAUACGGAGGAUGCGAGCGUUAUCCGGAUUUAUUGGGUUGAAAGGGAGCGUAGAUGGGUUGUUAAGUCAGUUGUGAAAGUUUGCGGGUCAACCGUAAAAUUGCAAUUGAUACUGGCAGCCUUGAGUACAGUUGAGGUAGGCGGAAUUCGUGGUGUAGCGGUGAAAUGCUUAGAUAUCACGAAGAACUCCGAUUGCGAAGGCAGCCUACUAAACUGCCACUGACGUUGAUGCUCGAAAGUGUGGGUAUCAAACAGGAUUAGAUACCCUUGUAGUC